RNAcentral lists this ribosomal RNA (1133 nucleotides) under uncultured Helotiales. Its description in RNAcentral is "eukaryotic LSU rRNA". The stretch from base 500 to 1133 matches the Rfam family "Eukaryotic large subunit ribosomal RNA", at positions 1 to 649 of the family's 3401-position model. The record is from RNAcentral. Lineage: Eukaryota; Fungi; Ascomycota; Leotiomycetes; Helotiales.
UCCGUUGGUGAACCAGCGGAAGGAUCAUUACAGAGAUCAUGCCCUUCGGGGUAGACCUCCCACCCUGUGUUAUUUACUCUUGUUGCUUUGGCAGGCCGCCUUCGGGCUCCCGGCUCCGGCUGGGGCGCGCCUGCCAGAGGACCCCAUAUUCUAAAUGUUUACAUGUCGUCUGAGAAAUAUAUAAUAAGUUAAAACUUUCAACAACGGAUCUCUUGGUUCUGGCAUCGAUGAAGAACGCAGCGAAAUGCGAUAAGUAAUGUGAAUUGCAGAAUUCAGUGAAUCAUCGAAUCUUUGAACGCACAUUGCGCCCCUUGGUAUUCCGGGGGGCAUGCCUGUUCGAGCGUCAUUUCAACCCUCAAGCACAGCUUGGUCUUGGGCCCUGCCGGCAACGGCUGGCCUUAAAAACAGUGGCGGCGCCAUCGAGCUCUACGCGUAGUAAUUAUACCCUCGCGUGUGAGUCGCGGUGGAUGCUGGCCAGCAACCCCCAAUUUUCUAUGGUUGACCUCGAAUCAGGUAGGGAUACCCGCUGAACUUAAGCAUAUCAAUAAGCGGAGGAAAAGAAACCAACAGGGAUUACCUCAGUAACGGCGAGUGAAGCGGUAACAGCUCAAAUUUGAAAUCUGGCUCUUUCAGGGUCCGAGUUGUAAUUUGUAGAAGAUGCUUCGGGUGUGGCUCCGGUCUAAGUUCCUUGGAACAGGACGUCAUAGAGGGUGAGAAUCCCGUAUGUGACUGGCUGCCUCCGCCCAUGUGAAGCUCUUUCGACGAGUCGAGUUGUUUGGGAAUGCAGCUCAAAAUGGGUGGUAAAUUUCAUCUAAAGCUAAAUAUUGGCCAGAGACCGAUAGCGCACAAGUAGAGUGAUCGAAAGAUGAAAAGCACUUUGGAAAGAGAGUUAAACAGUACGUGAAAUUGUUGAAAGGGAAGCGCUUGCAAUCAGACUUGCACGCUGUUGAUCAUCGGAGGUUCUCCCCCGUGCACUCGGCAGCGUUCAGGCCAGCAUCGGUUUGGGUGGUUAGAUAAAGGCCUUGGGAAUGUAGCUUCUUUCGGGGAGUGUUAUAGCCCUUGGUGCAAUGUAGCCUACCUGGACCGAGGACCGCGCUUCGGCUAGGAUGCUGGCGUAAUGGUUGUAAGCGACC